CCUACGGGAGGCAGCAGUAGGGAAUCUUCGGCAAUGGGGGGAACCCUGACCGAGCAACGCCGCGUGAGUGAAGAAGGUUUUCGGAUCGUAAAGCUCUGUUGUUAAGGAAGAACGAGUGUGAGAAUGGAAAGUUCAUGCUGUGACGGUACUUAACCAGAAAGGGACGGCUAACUACGUGCCAGCAGCCGCGGUAA
Molecule: ribosomal RNA, 194 nt
Filed under: uncultured bacterium
Lineage: Bacteria
Description: partial 16S ribosomal RNA
Rfam family: Bacterial small subunit ribosomal RNA
Source: RNAcentral